This 460-nucleotide ribosomal RNA is filed under the name uncultured bacterium. RNAcentral's name for it is "partial 16S ribosomal RNA". It matches the Rfam family "Bacterial small subunit ribosomal RNA", at positions 338 to 795 of the family's 1533-position model. The record is from RNAcentral.
CCUACGGGCGGCAGCAGUGAGGAAUAUUGGUCAAUGGGCGCGAGCCUGAACCAGCCAAGUAGCGUGAGGGAUGACGGCCCUACGGGUUGUAAACCUCUUUUGUCGGGGAGCAACGGGCGCCACGUGUGGCGCCACUGAGAUUAUCCGGAGAAAAAGCUUCGGCUAAUUCCGUGCCAGCAGCCGGGGUAAUACGAGGGACGCGGUCGUUAUCGGGAUUUAUUGGGUUUAAUGGGUGCGUAGGCGGUGCGUUAGGUCAGUGGUCAAAUUUGGGGGUUAAACGUCUUAUCGCCAUUGAAACUGGCGCUCUUGAGUGGAAGUGAAGUAGGCGGAAUGCGUGGUGUAGCGGUGAAAUGCAUAGAUAUCACGCAGAACCUCGAUUGCGAAGGCAGCAUGCCGGCUUCCUACUGACGCUGAAGCACGAAAGCGUGGGGAUCGAACAGGAUUAGAUACCCCGGUAGUC